This 1017-nucleotide ribosomal RNA is filed under the name Triticum aestivum (bread wheat). RNAcentral's name for it is "partial small subunit ribosomal RNA". The record is from RNAcentral. Lineage: Eukaryota; Viridiplantae; Streptophyta; Magnoliopsida; Poales; Poaceae.
AUGAUGCGCCGGCGUCCGCGACGACGACGAACCUCCGCCGGCGAGUGCGACGAAGUCUUCAUAUGGGCUGCCACACGCUGCAACAACAAAUACAUCCGUCUUCAACAAUGGCAAUCAUCACACUAUGCCUUUUCUCUUUGCAUUUCUCAUUUCAGAGGGGAGGCCACCCAGCCAAGAGGAUACGCGCCCGUGGUGACGGCGUCAAGGAUGGGACGACGCACCGGCGCCCACGCCGAGCACGGCGAGCCACCAACACCACCUCGGCGACGACAUCCGGCCCGACGCUAUCUGCACCACCACGACAAUGUCGGAGCUGCCGACCCGCAUGCCCGGCGCCAUCUUUACCAUGCCGGCGUGCGGCCCGGAACGAUCUAUACCACCACAACAACGACGGAGCUGCCGACCUGCAGCCCGGAGUCAUCUCCACCGCGCCGGCGCGUGGUCCGACAGCGACGAAGCUGCGGGCUUACAGCCCGGCGCCACCUCCACCAUGCCGGCGUGCGGCCCGGAGCCAUCUAUACCACCACAAUGACAUCGAAGCUGCUGGCUUACAGCCCGGUGCCAUCUUCACCAUGCCGGCGUGCGGCCCGGAGCGAUCUACACCACCAUGACAGCGCGCGAGGCUGCAGGAGAGUAUCACGGCGCCAACUCCACCUCAGCGGCGACAUCGAGAGGCGGGCGGCAUCCGGCCCAACACCAUCUACACCACCACAACGGCGGCAAGGCCGCCGGCGAGUAGCAUGGCGCCAACUCCACCUUGGCGGCGACAUCGGAGAGGCCGGCGGUAUCCGGCUCGGUGCCAUCUCCAUCCUAUCGGCGUUUGGUCCAACACCAUCUACGGCACCACCACGACAUCGAAGCUGCCGACCUAUAGCCUGGCGCGGUCUUCCCCAUUCCAAGUUAAGGGCAGUGAUACAUGGCACCCAAGAACUAGGCGGUGAUAUUCACGUAGACAGGAAGAAGAAGCUUGGAUGCCAUCUCCAUAUGGUCGAUGAGACACUCGCGGCAGCGACGUAG